Molecule: ribosomal RNA, 485 nt
Filed under: Centipeda infelix
Lineage: Bacteria; Bacillati; Bacillota; Negativicutes; Selenomonadales; Selenomonadaceae
Description: bacterial SSU rRNA
Rfam family: Bacterial small subunit ribosomal RNA
Source: RNAcentral
GACGAACGCUGGCGGCGUGCUUAACACACGCAAGUCGAACGGAGCGAAUGAAAGCUUGCUUUUAUGAGCUUAGUGGCAAACGGGUGAGUAACACGUAGACAACCUGCCGACAGGAUGGGGACAACAUUCCGAAAGGAAUGCUAAUACCGAAUGAAGCGGAGGAGAGGCAUCUCUCCUCCGUGAAAGAUGGCCUCUAUUUAUAAGCUAUCACCUGUCGAUGGGUCUGCGUCUGAUUAGCUGGUUGGUGAGGUAACGGCUCACCAAGGCGACGAUCAGUAGCCGGUCUGAGAGGAUGAACGGCCACAUUGGGACUGAGACACGGCCCAGACUCCUACGGGAGGCAGCAGUGGGGAAUCUUCCGCAAUGGGCGCAAGCCUGACGGAGCAACGCCGCGUGAGUGAAGAAGGUCUUCGGAUCGUAAAGCUCUGUUGACGGGGACGAACGUACGGAGUGCGAAUAGUGCUCUGUAAUGACGUACCUUCGAG